AUGGGUUUUUUUUUGCACUAAUAAAGUUGUGGAGUUGGUAAAGUAUUUUGUCUAGUGUCAAUUAUAUCGUCAGUUAUGUCGUUAUCGCAAAUUUUCAAAUAUAUAUCGUGAUAAAUUUUUUGGGGUCAUAUUGCCCUGCUCUAACAGCGGCUACAAAAGAAGACAGUUGAGGUGGUCGCCUCCUGAAUAAAGUGUUGCAACACCAGCUGGGCGUGUCAUACCGAGGAGGAGGACCCGUGCUAGACUCAGCCUCAGACUAAGAACACGCUGGAGAGAUGACAUCUACCGGCUGGCCUGGGAAUGCUACAGUGUUCCCCCAGAUAAGCUGGAAGAGGGUUGCAGGGAGGCUGGAGCCUAUUCCAGCUACCGUAGGGCGAGAGGUUGGGUAUACCCUGGACGGACCGCCAGCCUGAUGCAGGGCUAACACAGAGACAGACACAUUCGCACUCGCAUUCACACCUAUGGCUAAUUUAGAUUCACCAAUUAAAGGUUUUAUACUCUUACUAAGCAUGUGGACUCUUACAUGCCCACCAUGUCAUUUUUUUCUAUAAGGGACUGCUCAUACAGUCAUUUACAGAUUAAAAAAAAUACUGUUACAGAAUUCAUUUUGUCUAUAUGAAAGAUAGAAAACUGCCCAAAUAUUUA
Long non-coding RNA from Oreochromis niloticus (Nile tilapia), 645 nucleotides. RefSeq lists it as uncharacterized. The transcript has 2 exons. NCBI's taxonomy places the organism in Eukaryota, Metazoa, Chordata, Actinopteri, Cichliformes, Cichlidae. The record is from RefSeq and is a predicted model, not a curated record.